ACUUUAAUUGGAUCAAACCCUAUUGGAUAAUAGGCUUGAUUGGAUCAAGCCCUAUUAUCAAAUAGCUUCUCUGAAUCCAUCAAGAAUCAAUCCUUGGAUCAAUGGGGUUUUCAUCUAACUAAUUAUGAUUCAAUUGGAGCCUAUAAUUGGGCUAGGAUCUAAUUAGUUAGUUUGUUAUAACUAAUUAUUAAGUUAGUUAGGAUUGGAUCUAAGAAUUAGUUAGAAUUUGACCA
RNAcentral lists this long non-coding RNA (233 nucleotides) under Elaeis guineensis (African oil palm). RNAcentral describes it as "long non-coding RNA (EGUI_LNC068573)". The record is from RNAcentral. Lineage: Eukaryota; Viridiplantae; Streptophyta; Magnoliopsida; Arecales; Arecaceae.